RNAcentral lists this long non-coding RNA (1776 nucleotides) under Homo sapiens (human). Its description in RNAcentral is "HSALNT0309044". Lineage: Eukaryota; Metazoa; Chordata; Mammalia; Primates; Hominidae. The record is from RNAcentral.
UUCCAUUGUAUCUUGGAAGUUACUAACUUGUUUUUUAUUUUACAGGCUCAUAGGCGGAAGGGGCUUGCCUUGUCUCAGAUGAGACUUUGGACUUAGACUUUUGAGUUAAUGCUGGAAUGAGUUAAGACUUUGGGGGACUGUUGGGAAGGCAUGCUUGGCUUUGAAAUGUGAUGACAUGAGAUUUUGGAGGGGCCAGGGGUGGAAUGAUAUGGUUUGGCUCUGUCCUCACCCAAAUCUCAUUUCGAAUUGUAAUCCCCACAUGUGGGGGGAGGGGCCUGGUGGCAGGUGAUUGAAUCAUUGGGGUGGAGUUCCCGCUUGCUAUUCUUGUGAGAGUGAGUUCUCACAAGAUCUGGUUGUUCAAAAGUGUGUGGCACUUCCCUCUUCACUCUCGCUCUUUCCUGCUCCACCACGGUAAGACAUGCUUGAUUCCCCUAACCCCUCCACCACAAUUGUAAGUUACCAGCCAUGCUUCCUGUUAAGCCUGUGGAAAUGUGAGGAAAUUAAACCUCUUUUCUUCAUAAAUUACUCAGUCUCAGGUAGUUCUUUAUAGUUAAAAUGGAUUAAUAUAUCAUGUGUUGAUGAAGUUCCUGUUAUUCCCUCCUUACCCUCCUACGUGGAUUAUCUAAAGAUAUUUAUUUCACUCCCACAAAAAUGUUUUGUUCUCACCCAUUCCCGAGAGCUGAAAGUAGGCUGUGGGAACUUUGAGUGAGAAAAUAAGAGCAGCCUACUCCCCCUGACCAUAUUCCUGCCUGAUGGCCAGUAUUUGGGUGACACUUCACCCUGCCACCAAUUUUUUGAGUCCUAUUUCCCACAGACUCUGUGUUAGUCCAUUCUUGUGCUGCUAUAAAGAAAUACCUGAGACUAGGUAAUUUAUAAAGAAAACAGGCUUUGAUUUGGCUCACGUUUCUGCAGGCUGUACAGGAAGCAUGGUGCCAGCAUCAGCUUCUUGUGAAGGCCUCAGGAAGCUUUCAAUCAUGGCACAAAGUGAAGGGGAGCCAGCACAUCACAUGGUGAAGAGAGGGCGCAAAAGAGAGAAGGGGGAGGUCUCAGAUUCUUUUAAACAACCAGUUCUCAUGUGAACUAACUGGGAGAGAACAUCACCAAGAAAUGGUGCUAAGCCAUUUGUGAAGGAUCCACCCCCAUGAUCAAAUCACCUCCCACCAGGUCUCACCUCUAACAGUGACGGUUACAUUUCAACAUGAGAUUUGAAGAGGACAAACACCCCAAACAUAACAGACUCACUUGUGACUUUGCCCUGUAAACUUUCAGGGAAAAUGAGGUCACUUCUGACCCAGAGACUCUGUCAUCUUACCCUCUCCUGGGGGUCUUCAUCUAAAGAACUGCCACUGGGAUCAUACAGUGUGCUCUCAUCUGGAACUUCCCACAUCUCCACGUGCCCUCACCUUCAGUGAGAGUCUGAGAAGAAGCCGGGUGGGGUUGCUGCCCACAUGGUCGGGGCUGCUGCCAAUGCCACUCAUCUCACCGUCACUUGCUGCCUCUCUGCCUGCCCCCUGGUCCAUGGUUCUCUGACAUCUCUCUCUCCUUGAGGACUGUCCACUGAGAGGUCUGGAAACAAUGACACUCCAGGAACAAUGACACUCCAGAAACAAUGACACUCCAGGAACAAUGACACUCCAGAAACAAUGACACUCCAGGAACAAUGAGCACAUCUAGCACCCAGAUCUUGGCUUCUACACAUCAUUCUCUAUUAAAAGAAAGAAGCAUCCCUUGGAGCAAUGGCUGAUUCCAGAGCUGUGGCAGAGAAAUUACAAGAUA